This 73-nucleotide transfer RNA is filed under the name Gigantopelta aegis. RNAcentral describes it as "tRNA-Phe". It matches the Rfam family "tRNA". From Rfam's summary of the family: Transfer RNA (tRNA) molecules are approximately 80 nucleotides in length. Their secondary structure includes four short double-helical elements and three loops (D, anti-codon, and T loops). The record is from RNAcentral. Lineage: Eukaryota; Metazoa; Mollusca; Gastropoda; Neomphalida; Peltospiridae.
GCCGGAAUAGCUCAGUUGGGAGAGCGUUAGACUGAAGAUCUAAAGGCCCCCGGUUCAAUCCAAGGUUCCGGCA